AGUGAACGUUGGCGGCGUGGAUUAGGCAUGCAAGUCGAGCGAGAACCGUAGCAAUACGGGGACAGCGGCGAAAGGGACAGUAAUGUGUAGGUACCUACCUCCGGGUUCGGGAUAGCUGCGGGAAACUGCAGGUAAUACCGAAUAACGUCUCCGGACCAAAGGUGUGAUUCCACCUGGAGAGGGGCCUGCAUCCUAUUAGCUUGUUGGCGGGGUAACGGCCCACCAAGGCGACGAUGGGUAGCGGGUGUGAGAGCACGACCCGCGUCAUUGGGACUGAGACACUGCCCAGACACCUACGGGUGGCUGCAGUCGUGAAUCUUCGGCAAUGGGCGCAAGCCUGACCGAGCGACGCCGCGUGCGGGAUGAAGGCCUUCGGGUUGUAAACCGCUGUCGUAGAGGAGGAAAUGCAGGGGGGUUCUCCCCUCUGUUUGACCUAUUCUAGGAGGAAGUACGGGCUAAGUUCGUGCCAGCAGCCGCCGCGG
This 482-nucleotide ribosomal RNA is filed under the name uncultured bacterium. RNAcentral describes it as "partial 16S ribosomal RNA". It matches the Rfam family "Bacterial small subunit ribosomal RNA", at positions 28 to 523 of the family's 1533-position model. The record is from RNAcentral.